This 714-nucleotide long non-coding RNA is filed under the name Chinchilla lanigera (long-tailed chinchilla). RNAcentral describes it as "lncRNA (ENSCLAG00000027295.1)". The record is from RNAcentral. Lineage: Eukaryota; Metazoa; Chordata; Mammalia; Rodentia; Chinchillidae.
AGGACACGGCACCCUGCAGCACCAGGAGGAGACAUGGAGAAGCAUGUGGGGCCCUCGAUGUCACCUUCAGAGCUCCGAUCCCCGUGGUGCUGGUGACAGAGAAGACCCAGGGACCUGACUGAGCCUGUGUGUGGGAAAGAGGCCCUGCGGAGGACCUCUGCUGGAAGAACGCGGGCUUCUCCUGGCCCUGAGGUGCCGGAAGAACCUCAGCCACCGUGAGUGGCAGGGCAGCUGCUCCCCGCCUGCCUCCUCUCCCUGGUGUCUUAGUUCAGGCUGCUGCAAAGGAAAUACCGCAACCUGGGAGUGAAACCAAUACCUGCCACCAACACAGCUGUUGGUGCUGCUAUCAACACACUGAGACAGAGGCCGGGGACACAAGGACAUAGGCAGGAGCCCCACGGAUGGGAAUAUGGACCUCUUAGCCCGCAGUGGCAGGGUGAGCCCACAUCCUGGUCCCUGGAAGUCUGCAGUCCUGGCAUGUAUACUAAUAAUCGCCCUUCAAACAUGCACUCGGUGGCUGAUGAGUUAGUUAUAUGGCGUCCCUGGGCACCCAGGACCUGGAAUAGAGCUGCGAUGUCCAGGUAAGAGGCCCGGAGUCACCCAGCCCUCUCUCCCCGACAUCCCUUCUUCCGCUAGUCGCAUUCUGCUUCUCAAAGUUGCUGCUCAGCCCCAGGCAGCGGCCGAGGGACGUGUUGCCCUGGACAACUCUCCCAG